This 490-nucleotide ribosomal RNA is filed under the name uncultured bacterium. Its description in RNAcentral is "partial 16S ribosomal RNA". It matches the Rfam family "Bacterial small subunit ribosomal RNA", at positions 30 to 507 of the family's 1533-position model. The record is from RNAcentral.
AUUGAACGCUGGCGGUAGGCCUAACACAUGCAAGUCGAACGGUAACAGGAAGAAGCUUGCUUCUUUGCUGACGAGUGGCGGACGGGUGAGUAAUGUCUGGGAAACUGCCUGAUGGAGGGGGAUAACUACUGGAAACGGUAGCUAAUACCGCAUAACGUCGCAAGACCAAAGAGGGGGACCUUCGGGCCUCUUGCCAUCGGAUGUGCCCAGAUGGGAUUAGCUAGUAGGUGGGGUAACGGCUCACCUAGGCGACGAUCCCUAGCUGGUCUGAGAGGAUGACCAGCCACACUGGAACUGAGACACGGUCCAGACUCCUACGGGAGGCAGCAGUGGGGAAUAUUGCACAAUGGGCGCAAGCCUGAUGCAGCCAUGCCGCGUGUAUGAAGAAGGCCUUCGGGUUGUAAAGUACUUUCAGCGGGGAGGAAGGGAGUAAAGUUAAUACCUUUGCUCAUUGACGUUACCCGCAGAAGAAGCACCGGCUAACUCCGUG